GUCCACGCCGUAAACGAUGGGUACUAGGCGUCGGGGAGCGACCCCUUCGGUGCCGUCGUUAACACAGUAAGUACCCCGCCUGGGGAGUACGGCCGCAAGGCUGAAACUCAAAGGAAUUGACGGGGCCCGCACAAGCGGUGGAGCAUGUGGUUCAAUUCGACGCAACGCGAAGAACCUUACCUGGGUUAAAUCCAGCGGAACCCCGUAGAGAUAUGGGGGUGCUCGCAAGAGAGCCGUUGAGAAGGUGCUGCAUGGCUGUCGU
RNAcentral lists this ribosomal RNA (262 nucleotides) under uncultured bacterium. RNAcentral describes it as "partial 16S ribosomal RNA". It matches the Rfam family "Bacterial small subunit ribosomal RNA", at positions 793 to 1055 of the family's 1533-position model. The record is from RNAcentral.